UACGAAGGGGGCUAGCGUUGCUCGGAAUCACUGGGCGUAAAGCGCACGUAGGCGGCUUGUUAAGUCAGGGGUGAAAUCCUGGAGCUCAACUCCAGAACUGCCCUUGAUACUGGCAAGCUUGAGUUCGGGAGAGGUGAGUGGAACUGCGAGUGUAGAGGUGAAAUUCGUAGAUAUUCGCAAGAACACCAGUGGCGAAGGCGGCUCACUGGCCCGAUACUGACGCUGAGGUGCGAAAGCGUGGGGAGCAAACAGG
This 253-nucleotide ribosomal RNA is filed under the name uncultured bacterium. RNAcentral describes it as "partial 16S ribosomal RNA". It matches the Rfam family "Bacterial small subunit ribosomal RNA", at positions 524 to 776 of the family's 1533-position model. The record is from RNAcentral.